GGCUUUGGACCUUUCAGACCCUAUGUAUCAUUUUUCAUCUACUGAGCUUCUCACAGUUGUGCAAAAUGAAAAUGGGAGUAAAAAGAAAUAAAAAAAAAAAAAAAAGAAUAUAAAUAGAAUACACAUAUUCACCCAAUAAAAUUUUAGGAAAAAAUGUAGCAGAGUCUGACUCUUUGCCCCAAAAUUAUUUGUCACCAGAGCCAUCAAUUUUAGAGACUGAUGUAUGAUACAUCCUUUGUAUGUUUUUUUUAAAGGAGUUCAACCAAAAGCAUAUACAGGAAAAAGAGCAAACAUUAAACAAUGAGCCUGUAAAGGUAAUAUCUGCCAAAUUCCUUCACUGCUGGCUGGAAUGCUGCUGAAGUCUGGUAUUGCUGUUACAUUCCAUGCAGAGAAGCAAUUCUUCAGGUCUUCUGACAAUGCAGUGACCUCAAGACAACAUUUCUGGAACUGUUACAGAAAAGUCUUGCAACCAUAAUAAAUGUCUUCAAUUUUUAUUUUUCUUUAAAGGCUGAAAAAACCCUCACCUUGCUUUACUAAAGAGAAAUACUGAGAGGUGCUGAAAAACCUCUUCCAGCUGACUGUUUGCUGAGAAAUGUAACCUUCCUAAAUCCUACCUUCAGGUUGAAGUUGACAAGAAGAUCUGCAGAAAAUUUACCAUUUUAUCUAGGGAGCUGCAGCUCAGUGGAAUAUAAUAGUUUUCUACAUGAAUUUACAGCACAUCAGUCGUCAGAGAUAGAUAACUUGGUAGGAGUCCAGCAAGCUCAAUUAUUCAGCGUGUCUGAAGUACCAGAGGACGACAGGAAAGACAAGCACAGAUGCUGCUCUUUAAGUGACUUAUGCUGACAUGGAUUGCUUUCUUACUUAGAGUGUUGAACCGGGGAGGCAACUUCCAGGUCCCAGCAGCAGGGGUUUUAGAAGACUGAUGUACACUUGGUAAAAAAAGUAAUCUUGUUUGGCCAUAAUUGUCUCUGAAAGGAAGUGCUGGAAUGCUCUGAGCUGAAACCUUUUUUGGCAGACAAGGGUGAGCCAGUUUGAAGAAAUGGAAUUACAGAAGAUGAGAUCACCAGGUUAGAGAGGAGUAAUUUGAAGUCAUCAUUGUUGAAGCUGCUGUGGUAAUGGUAAUAAGAAAAGAAGAAUGAUUUGUUUGGGUAAAAAUUCUGAUAUCAUAUGUAAAUGGUGAUGCCUUGACAUUUGGUACUUUUACAAUUGGCCUGAAGUGUAAAUGCAACUAUCAAAGUAAAUCCACAUUGUCUUCAGGUUGAAGUGCUGUUUUAAUUUUACUUCAAUUUUUUAUUUAGCUUAUUAAAAUUAAGAAUGGUUCUUCAAGAAAUCCUCAAGAACAAUUUACUGAAGAAACAAACAAAUAUGGAUAAAUAUAUUUCCAUCAAAUAAGACAGAUGGGGACAGUGCACCUGUUUUACAGUUACAUAAAUGAAUAACUGAGGCCAACUCAUUUGAGCCUUGUUCAGAAGUGAGUGAAAUUCUUAAUUUUGAGUAUUCUGAGGUUUUUGUUUCAGGAAACCACAAAGCAUUUGCUAGCUUCAAAAUGAAAAAUCUGUGGGGGUUUGCUUGCAAAUGAUUAAUUGCAGGGUAAAUACAUGUCUGUAUGUUGCCUACAGAUACAGUGUGUGCUUCUAAAUAUCUUAGGAAUGCUAAAAUACAUACAGCUUCAAUAAGGCCAUCUACCAUGCAGUGAUUCAAUGCCACAGUGUUCCAUCCUUUAUUUGAACAUGUAAUUGCAUUGUUCUUCAUAUAUUAGAAUCCUUGCUUAUAAUAAUUGAUUGUGAUAAUACAGUGAAUUAACCCUAGUCACUGUUCUAUUUAACCAUUUUAUUUGAAUGUCAGGUGUGCAGGUAAGUCAUCUAGUUAACUGGAAGUUUGAUAACCUAAUGUAAUAUCUUUGACAUCAGAGAUCAGAUGAAAUCUUUUAUGUGUCAUUGGCUCUGAGAAUCUGCUUGGGCAGAUGGUGUUGGUUUUGUAAGGCAGACAUACAUUGCCUGGAGAAUUUCAGAGAAAUAUGGGCAUUAUUUUCAAACUCCAGUAAAGGAGAAAGGUGUCAUUUCACUGACAGCCCCAGAGAAUAUUUCCCUACUAUUGCAUGCUUGACAGAUGCCAUGAACAGAUUGAUGUGCAGAAAAAGGAAAGGUACAAGGAAACCGUACAUUAAAACUCAUUAACUUUAGAUAGCAAAACUCUGUUGGGAGCAACUCCAGAGCAUUUUUUGAUGUACAGUGUAUGUUUAACAUUCUAAAUAUAUGUGCUAUUUAAUGUGUUGGGACUGCAUUUACAUAUUUGGUGUAAAUAUGAAUGAAAAUGAAAACAGUGACAAGAUAAACACAAGAGAAAAUGCAUCAGUAAAAUGAAUCAUUAAGAAGCUGAAGGAAAAUACAAGAGAUAUUUUUCACGCUCCUAAUUUUAGAUCUAGCAGCAGCUAUAGGUCUGGUGUUUGGAGUGGAUCAUUUGAAUUCCAGUAUUAAUUUUCUUAGAAAAAAACAUUCACUUUUGUUUGUAACAUAGCUGUUAUUUACAAAAACAGGUAUCUACUUCUUAGUACAACCAAACUGUUAUGUACAGCCUUAACUCUUAACACUAGAAAAGGAAUAUGGAAACUUAUUAUCUGUUUUACCCAGUCCUGUGUUGCCUCCUUAUCCCAUUGACUCCUUCUCACAGAUGCAGCAAAUUCCUGUAUUAAUAUUUAUGGUUAAAUUAAUUUUUUAAAUGUUAGGUGUGAUAUGAAUUCUGUAAAAAAAAUAAAACACUGGAUUAUGAUGGUAGAAGUAUUUCAUAAUUAAGAUGGAAUUAAAAUUGUAAUAUUACAUAUACAUAACAAUAAUUACUUCAUUAUAAUAAUUGCUAUUCCUGGCCAUUGAAU
Passer domesticus (house sparrow) is the source of this 2872-nucleotide long non-coding RNA. RefSeq lists it as uncharacterized. The transcript has 3 exons. Lineage: Eukaryota; Metazoa; Chordata; Aves; Passeriformes; Passeridae. The record is from RefSeq and is a predicted model, not a curated record.